This is a long non-coding RNA of Jaculus jaculus (lesser Egyptian jerboa), 1520 nucleotides long. RefSeq lists it as uncharacterized. NCBI's taxonomy places the organism in Eukaryota, Metazoa, Chordata, Mammalia, Rodentia, Dipodidae. The transcript is spliced from 6 exons. The record is from RefSeq and is a predicted model, not a curated record.
GCCCAGCCCCCGUCGAGGGCCUGCUCCCCGCCCGGUCACUCGUCCGUGCCGCGCUGCCAGAGUGGGGCAUGCCCGUGUCAUCGCCGGCCGGGGCUCGGGCCGAGUGCCCAGUGCCCGAAAGGAGGACUUUCCAGGAAGAAGGGCCGCGCUCAGGUCCUCUGGCUCCUACAGGGUGAUCUCAGACUCCUGGCCUUGCUGGACCCAGUGACCCUCGCUGUCCCAGCCUCCAGAGUCCUGGGACUACAGGUGUUUGACAACACACGUUCUCCUGUGCACUUCAGCUCUUGAGGACUUGUAGCACCUACUGCAAGGUCUAACUUCAAACUCGUGGCUGUCAAUUCAAAAGUCUGUGUUAUUGGAGGGCAGGCCAUGUCCAGCGUUGAGCACUACAGUCCAGAGCAGAUGCCUGGAGUUUCAUGACACCCUUACCAAGCCCUCUGGCUGAGGUCUUGCGUGUGAAUGUAAGAGGAAGAUUUACAUCAUUGGAGGUCACACCGCCAGAGCAUUCAGGCCAAGACUAAGGCUCUGGAGCUGUCCAUGUUUCACAGGAGGUGCAAGAAUUAAUACAGAGGUCUUCCUUCUUGAUUGAGCUGAGGACCAAACCCAGGGCAUGGCCCAUGCUAGGCAAGCUCUCUGGCACUAAGCUUUAUCUCCUUUGAGACAAAGCCUCCCUAAGUUGCCCACGCUAUCCUUGAAUUUAUGCUUGGCACUUCGGUUAGCUUUUGAACUGAAGCGACGGCCGCAGUUGCUCAUGUGACCUGGAAGGAGGGGAGAAGUUCCGCAGAGUGAAUUGGCCUCUACCGGUUCUGAAUUUAGGUCCGAUGUUCGCCUUGCCCUGGUCAAAGCUCAAGUAGUUCUCCCGCCAGCACCGGUUCCGUUGAGUCAAAGCUCCUGCCAGUCGGUCGCAGGCCCGUGCACCUCAGAGCACGUGCAGGGUCCGUUCAGCUGUCCCGGCACUUAAACAACAGCAGCAGUAAAGCGCUGGCCGCUCCCGUGGGCAUUCCCUGUUGACUGAAGAGUGUGUCUGCCAUCUCAUAGUGCCCGGGUCACUGGCAUUCCAUCGUCACUCAUCAGUGGGUACAGUGGGCAGAACUCUGAGGAAAGCAAGCAAUGCCUGGGGCAGGUGCUCUUGGAGUGCCCCCAGCAGCCAUCACCACCGUGGGGUGCAGGGAAGCUGACCCCAACAGAGUCCUUCAGGGUUUUCUUCCAGCUCUGCCUCUUACAGUGAACCUGGGGCUACUAUAAAGAGUCCUGCUGCGCAGCUUCUCAGGGACUUAAAAGUCAAAGGAGUAAGCCUUUAGUGUGGAUAUGGUGACAGAUCUCUGUACCUUGUCACCCAGUCUGUCAGUAGUUGUUAUUCAGUCAGUAAUCUGCUUCUAACACUGUUUAAAGAUUUUUUGUUAAUAACAGGAACAUAUCUUGAUUUUAGUAAUAUUGGUCAUUUUUAACUCAAAUGGGUAUAAAAUGUGAUAUCUAUGAUUUAUAUCUCAACUGUACCAAAAAUAAAAUAUUUAAUGCAA